CUUAUCAGGUUGUAUUAUCAUU
This 22-nucleotide microRNA is filed under the name Canis lupus familiaris (dog). Its description in RNAcentral is "Cfa-Mir-374-P2_3p* (star (passenger))". Lineage: Eukaryota; Metazoa; Chordata; Mammalia; Carnivora; Canidae. RNAcentral also lists the same sequence under 6 other names. The record is from RNAcentral.